AUGACCCCUUGGCCUUUUGACUAAUAUCAAGUGCACUAACUGGUCUUAUCAGUUCAAUAUCUGAUAUGUCCUUUAUCUGAGGACAAUUUGUUAAAUUGAUUUUUGGAACUUGCUCCAUACAUUCCAUAGACCUGGCAUUGUAGUACCUAUAGCACCAGUUCUCAGCCUGGGUUGUGACCCGUUU
RNAcentral lists this small nuclear RNA (184 nucleotides) under Echinops telfairi (small Madagascar hedgehog). RNAcentral's name for it is "U2 spliceosomal RNA (ENSETEG00000024304.1)". It matches the Rfam family "U2 spliceosomal RNA". Rfam says of the family: U2 is a small nuclear RNA (snRNA) component of the spliceosome (involved in pre-mRNA splicing). Complementary binding between U2 snRNA (in an area lying towards the 5' end but 3' to hairpin I) and the branchpoint sequence (BPS) of the intron results the bulging out of an unpaired adenosine, on the BPS, which initiates a nucleophilic attack at the intronic 5' splice site, thus starting the first of two transesterification reactions that mediate splicing. The record is from RNAcentral. Lineage: Eukaryota; Metazoa; Chordata; Mammalia; Afrosoricida; Tenrecidae.